RNAcentral lists this non-coding RNA (26 nucleotides) under Homo sapiens (human). The record is from RNAcentral. Lineage: Eukaryota; Metazoa; Chordata; Mammalia; Primates; Hominidae.
UGGCACUGCAUCAUGAGCCACGAGCA